GGUGAAAAGCACCCCGGAAGGGGAGUGAAAUAGAACCUGAAACCGUGUGCUUACAAGUAGUCAGAGCCCGUUAAUGGGUGAUGGCGUGCCUUUUGUAGAAUGAACCGGCGAGUUACGAUUUGAUGCAAGGUUAAGCAGUAAAUGUGGAGCCGUAGCGAAAGCGAGUCUGAAUAGGGCGUUUAGUAUUUGGUCGUAGACCCGAAACCAGGUGAUCUACCCUUGGUCAGGUUGAAGUUCAGGUAACACUGAAUGGAGGACCGAACCGACUUACGUUGAAAAGUGAGCGGAUGAACUGAGGGUAGCGGAGAAAUUCCAAUCGAACCUGGAGAUAGCUGGUUCUCUCCGAAAUAGCUUUAGGGCUAGCCUCAAGUGAUGAUUAUUGGAGGUAGAGCACUGUUUGGACGAGGGGCCCCUCUCGGGUUACCGAAUUCAGACAAACUCCGAAUGCCAAUUAAUUUAACUUGGGAGUCAGAACAUGGGUGAUAAGGUCCGUGUUCGAAAGGGAAACAGCCCAGACCACCAGCUAAGGUCCCAAAAUAUAUGUUAAGUGGAAAAGGAUGUGGCGUUGCCCAGACAACUAGGAUGUUGGCUUAGAAGCAGCCAUCAUUUAAAGAGUGCGUAAUAGCUCACUAGUCGAGUGACACUGCGCCGAAAAUGUACCGGGGCUAAACAUAUUACCGAAGCUGUGGAUUGUCCUUUGGACAAUGGUAGGAGAGCGUUCUAAGGGCGUUGAAGCAUGAUCGUAAGGACAUGUGGAGCGCUUAGAAGUGAGAAUGCCGGUGUGAGUAGCGAAAGACGGGUGAGAAUCCCGUCCACCGAUUGACUAAGGUUUCCAGAGGAAGGCUCGUCCGCUCUGGGUUAGUCGGGUCCUAAGCUGAGGCCGACAGGCGUAGGCGAUGGAUAACAGGUUGAUAUUCCUGUACCACCUAUAAUCGUUUUAAUCGAUGGGGGGACGCAGUAGGAUAGGCGAAGCGUGCGAUUGGAUUGCACGUCUAAGCAGUAAGGCUGAGUAUUAGGCAAAUCCGGUACUCAUUAAGGCUGAGCUGUGAUGGGGAGAAGACAUUGUGUCUUCGAGUCGUUGAUUUCACACUGCCGAGAAAAGCCUCUAGAUAGAAAAUAGGUGCCCGUACCGCAAACCGACACAGGUAGUCAAGAUGAGAAUUCUAAGGUGAGCGAGCGAACUCUCGUUAAGGAACUCGGCAAAAUGACCCCGUAACUUCGGGAGAAGGGGUGCUCUUUAGGGUUAACGCCCAGAAGAGCCGCAGUGAAUAGGCCCAAGCGACUGUUUAUCAAAAACACAGGUCUCUGCUAAACCGU
RNAcentral lists this ribosomal RNA (1317 nucleotides) under Staphylococcus aureus. RNAcentral's name for it is "partial 23S ribosomal RNA". It matches the Rfam family "Bacterial large subunit ribosomal RNA", at positions 513 to 1834 of the family's 2925-position model. The record is from RNAcentral. Lineage: Bacteria; Bacillati; Bacillota; Bacilli; Caryophanales; Staphylococcaceae.